Molecule: long non-coding RNA, 1523 nt
Organism: Papaver somniferum (opium poppy)
Lineage: Eukaryota; Viridiplantae; Streptophyta; Magnoliopsida; Ranunculales; Papaveraceae
Exons: 3
Source: RefSeq, a predicted model, not a curated record
AAAAACUAUGAUGGAAUGCACAGCCGCUAAUUCAUGUAUAAAACUAGUGGAAGAUGUCUGGUUAAACGAGUCGAACAACAAGAAUUUCGUAUUCUCUCUGUUCUCAAUAGAAAUUGCUCUAGGUUUCCUUGCAUCCGGAGCAAGUGGUGAAACGUUAAAACAGAUGUUAGGUUUUCUCAACUCCGAAAGCAUCGAAAAUCUAAAUUCUGUUAGUUCGAAACUUAUUGGCGCGUUAUGCGAACCGCGAAUUGAACCCACACUUUCUUUUGUUGGUGGUGUUUGGAUUGAAGAUUCUUGACCCAUUAUACCUUCAUUCAAAGAAGUUUCCGCCGCAGUAUAUAAAGCAGAAUCCGGAUCUGUGGAUUUCGUAAAUAAGAACAACGAGGUGCGGAACAAGGUGAACACAUGGGUUCAAGAGGAAACAAAUGGAUUAAUACAAGAUCUUAAUCCUGAUGGAGCAGUCAAUGAACAUACAAAGUUUAUAUUGGCGAAUGCACUCUAUUUCAAAGGACAUUGGAAUGAUUGUGAUCAAUUUGAACCAUCAAUGUUCUAAGGAAAGGUGGUGUGUAUGAUGGACAAAAGGCGGCUGAGAUUAAUCUUAAGAUGGAUGGCUGAGAUCAUGCCUCGGCCCAUUAUUAAUCGACACCAGCUCUAGGCUCUGGCCGACUAAACCCGUCCAGCUCGAUAACUAUCCCCAUUUAAACCUGAACUUUGAUAUUUAAGUUUCUGAAUAUAAAGAUUCCUGAUUUAUGCUCCUCACAUAUUUGCCAGAAACACAUCCAGGCGCGCUCAUCAAAAUUUGAUUAAUUUCUUAAAAUUGUUAUUAGCAUUAGUGUUUUGAUUUGUUUUUUCUUUUUAAUGCAGGGUUGAGGUUUGGUAUUAAGCAGUUUUCGACAGUUUGUUUAUGCACAUGGGCUUAGUUGAGAUGUCAGAAAAUUAAAACCCGAAGGAAGUCUCAUACAAGAUCAUUAGCGAUAACUUGAUGUUAAGUGGAAAUAGGAGAUAGAAUCUUGCCCCGUUAGUGACGACUUGGAUGUGACAUGAAUACCCUGUUACCACUGAACUUCAGUAGGAACUUUGGCAUUGCAAAAAGAAAUUUAUGAUGAAUGCCACUAGAUUGCAGUAUCAUACGCGGGGCGGGACUUAGCAAGACCCGAUAGGUGGGGCAGCGAGGUUUUUGACAUGGUUCUAUCACAGGUAUAAUGGGUAAAAACAGUGUAUCUUACAAAGAGCUCAAGAGUGACAUGUUUCCGUUUCCUAAAACAUGGGCAGAAGUAAUAGGGUUGCCACUGAAUAGGUAUCGAACCAUAACUCUGUCGUAUUCUUUUCAGUUCACUUUAGCUCUUUGGUUUUGGGAUCUCUUUAUUGUAAAAGUUGUAAAAGGAUGGACUGGGCAUGUACACUUUCAGAAAUCAGUCAAUUUGUCGAACAUUGGAGGUUGCUUUAGACCUUUAGUCAUUCUUAGUAUGUGUACAUUUGCAGUUGUAUUGUUACCUGGGUUCGUAAAUGCCUGUGUAAAUAUC